AACCUAAAAAAUUUGGCGGUAUUUAAGGCAUUCUAGAGGAACUUGUAACAUAAGUGAUAAUCCUCGUUAAAAUUUACUUUUUUUAUUAAUUUGUAUAUCGUCGUUGUCAGGAUUUUUUAUAAACUUGUUUCCUAGAUAAGAUACUAAGAAUCGUCAGAUCAAGGUGCAGCUUUAUGGAGAAGUGUUUAUGAGUUACAAUAAUUUAAGUUAUACUAAUUUUAUUUUUAAAAAUAAAUGAAUGAAGGUGGAUUUAGGAAUAAUAAUUUUUUAGAAAGUUUCGUGAAGAAUUAAAUGCUCUAAAA
This 302-nucleotide ribosomal RNA is filed under the name Campodea sp. CFNDS2. RNAcentral's name for it is "partial 12S ribosomal RNA". The record is from RNAcentral. Lineage: Eukaryota; Metazoa; Arthropoda; Diplura; Rhabdura; Campodeidae.